AUGCAUGACACGUAGUAGGUGCUCUGUGUAUUUCUGGUAGUAGGUGAGGAGGCUGUUUGGCUACUACCUGGUUUCAUCUAGGAAACUGAGGGCUAAGUUCUGGGUUCCUCUGCAGUGACUGUCCAUUCUUAGGUUUCUUUUCCCAGGACAUUUUAAAAUCCUCACUUCUUUAUCCGUUCUUGUUCUUUCAUGGGUAUUUGGAUGGUUCUGUUAUAUCUGUGUCUUUUUAAUUUAAUUUAUUUAUUUAGAGACAGUGUCUCACUCUGGUGCACAGGCUAGACUAUAGUUGCAUGAUCAUAGCUCACUGCAGCCUCAAACUCCUGGGAUCAAGGGGUCUUCCCGCCUUAGCCCUCCCAGUAGCUGUGACUACAGGCCCGUGCCAGCAUGCCUGGCUAAUUUUUAAAUUUUUUGUAAAGAUGGUGUCUCACUAACUCCCCAGGCUGGUCUGGAACUCCUGAACUGAAGCUAUCCUCUUGACUUGGCCUCCCAAAAUGCUGGAAUUACAGGCAUAGGCCACUGUACCUGGUGAUCUGUGUCUUAUAUGAUGUGCCUGAGACAGGUUUGACCUGGCAACUGAAAAGACAUCCCUGAGAGAAGACAAAGCUCAGGUGUGAAAGGAAUGUGCAUCCCAGCUGACCAGGUGGAACAGAGCUGCCUGCUGUCUGGAACUGCGUCCUCCCAGACUAAAGAGAUGGAGGUCUUGCAGCUGGGCAUGGUGGCUCACACCUGUAAUCCCGCCACUUUGGGGGCCCAAGGCAGAUGGAUCACCUGAGGUCAGGAGUUCGAGACCAGCCUGACCAACAUGGUAAAACCCUGUCUCUAUUAAAAAUACAAAAAUUAGCCCAGUGUGGUGGUGCGUGCCUGUAAUCCAAGCUACUCCAGUGGCUGAGGCAGGAUUAUCGCUUGAACCUAGGAGGCAGAGGUUGCAGUGAGCUGAGAUCAUGCCAUUGCACUCUAGGCUGGGCAGCAAGAGUAAAACUGUCUAAAAAAAAAAAAAGAGAGAGAGAGAGAGAGAGAGAUGGGGAACUUGCUAUGUUAUCCAGGCAGGUCUUGAACUCCUGGGUUCAAGCAAUCCUUCCACCUCAGCCUUCCAAGUAGCUAGAGACUAUGGGCCCAUGCCACCAGGCCUGGCUCUAUCUCGUAACUAUUAACUCAUCUACUCUUUUUACCACCAGAUGAAGUAGGAGUUACUGUUACUCACUUUUUUUUUUUUUUUGAGACAGAGUCUUGCUCUGUUGCCAGGCUGGAAUGCAGUGGCACAAUCUUGGCUCACUGUAACCUCUGCCUCCUGGGUUUAAGCGAUUCUCCUGCCUCAGCCUCCCAAGUAGCUGAGACUACAGGCACCCUCUACCAUGCCCAGCUGAUUUUUGUAUUUUUAGUAGAGACAGAGUUUCACCAUAUUGGCCAGGAUAGUCUUGAUCUCCUGACCUCGUGAUCCGCUGGCCUCAUCCUCCCAAAGCGCUGGGAUUAUAGGCAUGAGCCACCGCACCCAGCCUGUUAUUCACAUUUUUAAGAAGAGGAAGCUGAGGCAUAGUAAUCAAGUAUCUUGCCCAAGGUUGUGCAGCCAGCAGGUGGUAGAGCAGGGAUCGUGAGCCCAGCCCCAGCAUCUGUGUAUAACCACUUCACCAGGUGGGCACAUGAUGACUACACUUGAGACUCUAGUUUGUUUGUCUGGUGCCCCCCCUUCCACCUGCCUCCCUCAGACUUUACGGCCCAUUGGAAAAAGCAAGCCAGGGCUGUGGCUCCCAGGGUGACGAUCCUUCAGCUGCCUCCUUGGCACUGUCAUUCUCUCCUUCCAUCUCUUGCCAAGGGCUGCAGCCGGGAAUUCCACAGACGGUUUGCCAUGGAUCAAGAUUUCUCCCGAGAAAGAGCUCACAGGAAGGCUGCAGUGAGAAAUGAAGUCACUUGCUACUCCCCUUAUUUCUCCAUCAGGAGGAUGAAGUCACCGCACAUUUGAGUGGGUGCUAUCAAAGCGUAGCCUCUGGCCAGCAUGGAGACAAACGUGGGCUGUGUGGCCCAUGGCUGAGUGGCUGC
Callithrix jacchus (white-tufted-ear marmoset) is the source of this 2034-nucleotide long non-coding RNA. The record is from Ensembl. NCBI's taxonomy places the organism in Eukaryota, Metazoa, Chordata, Mammalia, Primates, Cebidae.